UUAGUGGCAGACGGGUGAGUAACAUGUAGGUAUCUGCCCUUUGGCCUGGAAUAACACGAGGAAACUUGUGCUAAUACCGGAUAAGUCUUUACGGAGAAAGCUUUAUGCACCAUUGGAUGAGCCUGCACUUGAUUAGUUUGUUGGUGGGGUAAUGGCCUACCAAGACUGUGAUCAAUAGCUGAUUUGAGAGGAUGAUCAGCCACAUUGGGACUGAGACACGGCCCAAACUCCUACGGGAGGCAGCAGUGGGGAAUCUUGCACAAUGGAGGAAACUCUGAUGCAGCGAUGCCGCGUGAGUGAAGAAGGCCCUUGGGUUGUAAAGCUCUUUCGUCGGGGAAGAAAAUGACUGUACCCGAAUAAGAAGGUCCGGCUAACUUCGUGCCAGCAGCCGCGGUAAUACGAAGGGACCUAGCGUAGUUCGGAAUUACUGGGCUUAAAGAGUUCGUAGGUUGUUGAAAAAGUUAGUGGUGAAAUCCCAGAGCUUAACUCUGGAACUGCCAUUAAAACUUUUCAGCUAGAGUAUGAUAGAGGAAAGCAGAAUUUCUAGUGUAGAGGUGAAAUUCGUAGAUAUUAGAAAGAAUACCAAUUGCGAAGGCAGCUUUCUGGAUCAUUACUGACACUGAGGAACGAAAGCAUGGGUAGCGAAGAGGAUUAGAUACCCUCGUAGUCCAUGCCGUAAACGAUGUGUGUUAGACGUUGGAAAUUUAUUUUCAGUGUCGCAGGGAAACCGAUAAACACACCGCCUGGGGAGUACGACCGCAAGGUUAAAACUCAAAUGAAUUGACGGGGACCCGCACAAGUAGUGGAGCAUGUGGUUUAAUUCGAAGAUACGCGCAGAACCUUACCAACACUUGACAUGUUCGUCGCGACUCUAAGAGAUUAGAGUUUUCGGUUCGGCCGGACGAAACACAGGUGCUGCAUGGCUGUCGUCAGCUCGUGUCGUGAGAUGUUGGGUUAAGUCCCGCAACGAGCGCAACCCUCACUUUUAGUUGCCAUCAUUAAGUUGGGCACUCUGAAAGAACUGCCAGUGAUAAGCUGGAGGAAGGUGGGGAUGACGUCAAGUCCUCAUGGCCCUUACGUGUUGGGCUACACACGUGCUACAAUGGUAUCUACAACAGGAAGCAAGACUGCGAAGUUAAGCAAAUCCCUAAAAGAUACCUCAGUUCGG
This 1168-nucleotide ribosomal RNA is filed under the name marine metagenome. RNAcentral's name for it is "bacterial SSU rRNA". It matches the Rfam family "Bacterial small subunit ribosomal RNA", at positions 92 to 1296 of the family's 1533-position model. The record is from RNAcentral.